GAUGAACGCUAGCGGCAGGCCUAACACAUGCAAGUCGAGGGGCAGCGGGUAAGUAGCUUGCUACUUAUGCCGGCGACCGGCGGACGGGUGCGUAACGCGUAUGUAACCUACCUUUGACAGGGGGAUAACAUCGAGAAAUUGGUACUAAUACCCCAUAACAUCACCGGAGGCAUCUUCGGUGGUUGAAAACUCAGGUGGUCAGAGAUGGACAUGCGUUGUAUUAGCUAGUUGGUGAGGUAACGGCUUACCAAGGCGACGAUACAUAGGGGGACUGAGAGGUUAACCCCCCACAUUGGUACUGAGACACGGACCAA
RNAcentral lists this ribosomal RNA (314 nucleotides) under uncultured bacterium. Its description in RNAcentral is "bacterial SSU rRNA". It matches the Rfam family "Bacterial small subunit ribosomal RNA", at positions 28 to 334 of the family's 1533-position model. The record is from RNAcentral.